Molecule: transfer RNA, 60 nt
Filed under: Brachylecithum sp. PakAb2
Lineage: Eukaryota; Metazoa; Platyhelminthes; Trematoda; Plagiorchiida; Dicrocoeliidae
Description: tRNA-Ser
Source: RNAcentral
GAGGGUUUUAAACUAUCGCUGCUAACGAUGAGUUUGGAUAGGUUAAAUAUCCGAUCCUCU